RNAcentral lists this ribosomal RNA (465 nucleotides) under Vreelandella stevensii. RNAcentral's name for it is "partial 16S ribosomal RNA". It matches the Rfam family "Bacterial small subunit ribosomal RNA", at positions 338 to 795 of the family's 1533-position model. Lineage: Bacteria; Pseudomonadati; Pseudomonadota; Gammaproteobacteria; Oceanospirillales; Halomonadaceae. The record is from RNAcentral.
CCUACGGGUGGCUGCAGUGGGGAAUAUUGGACAAUGGGGGGAACCCUGAUCCAGCCAUGCCGCGUGUGUGAAGAAGGCCCUCGGGUUGUAAAGCACUUUCAGUGAGGAAGAACGCCUGGUGGUUAAUACCCAUCAGGAAAGACAUCACUCACAGAAGAAGCACCGGCUAACUCCGUGCCAGCAGCCGCGGUAAUACGGAGGGUGCGAGCGUUAAUCGGAAUUACUGGGCGUAAAGCGCGCGUAGGUGGCUUGAUAAGCCGGUUGUGAAAGCCCCGGGCUCAACCUGGGAACGGCAUCCGGAACUGUCAAGCUAGAGUGCAGGAGAGGGAGGUAGAAUUCCCGGUGUAGCGGUGAAAUGCGUAGAGAUCGGGAGGAAUACCAGUGGCGAAGGCGGCCUUCUGGACUGACACUGACACUGAGGUGCGAAAGCGUGGGUAGCAAACAGGAUUAGAUACCCUUGUAGUC